AGAGUUUGAUCAUGGCUCAGAUUGAACGCUGGCGGCAUGCUUUACACAUGCAAGUCGAACGGCAGCACGGGGGCAACCCUGGUGGCGAGUGGCGAACGGGUGAGUAAUGCAUCGGAACGUAUCCUUAAGUGGGGGAUAACGCAUCGAAAGAUGCGCUAAUACCGCAUAAUCUCUAAGGAGAAAAGCAGGGGAUCGCAAGACCUUGCGCUUUUGGAGCGGCCGAUGUCUGAUUAGCUAGUUGGUGAGGUAAAGGCUUACCAAGGCUUCGAUCAGUAGCUGGUCUGAGAGGACGACCAGCCACACUGGGACUGAGACACGGCCCAGACUCCUACGGGAGGCAGCAGUGGGGAAUUUUGGACAAUGGGGGGAACCCUGAUCCAGCCAUGCCGCGUGAGUGAAGAAGGCCUUCGGGUUGUAAAGCUCUUUCAGCCGGAACGAAAAGGUUACGGUUAAUACCCGUGACUAAUGACGGUACCGGAAGAAGAAGCACCGGCUAACUACGUGCCAGCAGCCGCGGUAAUACGUAGGGUGCGAGCGUUAAUCGGAAUUACUGGGCGUAAAGCGUGCGCAGGCGGUUUUGUAAGUCAGAUGUGAAAUCCCCGGGCUUAACCUGGGAACUGCGUUUGAAACUACAAGGCUAGAGUGUGGCAGAGGGGGGUGGAAUUCCACGUAGCAGUGAAAUGCGUAGAGAUGUGGAGGAACACCGAUGGCGAAGGCAGCCCCCUGGGUUAACACUGACGCUCAGGCACGAAAGCGUGGGGAGCAAACAGGAUUAGAUACCCUAGUAGUCC
This 791-nucleotide ribosomal RNA is filed under the name uncultured bacterium. RNAcentral's name for it is "bacterial SSU rRNA". It matches the Rfam family "Bacterial small subunit ribosomal RNA", at positions 8 to 796 of the family's 1533-position model. The record is from RNAcentral.